AGUAUGAAAGCUCUAUCCUUCCUUCCUACUCCCUCCUACCGACCACGCAGGACAAUUCCGCAGACGUGAAUUGAAGCUGCGGAGCUCUUGGCUCUCUCGGCAAUGGAGUCAACAUUAUCAGUAACCACAACAAUGACAUUUUUAUCCCUAACCAAAACCCUUAACUCCAGCUCUUCGUCUACUUCUCCUUUCAUUUCUCAU
RNAcentral lists this long non-coding RNA (201 nucleotides) under Coffea arabica (coffee). RNAcentral describes it as "long non-coding RNA (CARA_LNC000981)". Lineage: Eukaryota; Viridiplantae; Streptophyta; Magnoliopsida; Gentianales; Rubiaceae. The record is from RNAcentral.